CGGCCCAGCCCGCACCCCCACCACUCUCUCCUCUCUCCCUCGUUCCUAAUCUCUCCAACCGCACACGCCACCCGCCGCCAGCCCCAACUCUCCGGCAACCCGCCUCCCCCCGCCACCCACCUCCAGCGACGCGCCGCGCCCAGCACCUCCCACCUCCGGCGACGCGCCGUGACCACCGCACCCUGCCUCCUCCCUCAUGCCGCGCGCUGCCCCUGAACCCUGCCUCCUCUCUCGCGCCGCCCCCACUGCCCCCCGAGCGUGGCCGCCCCUCCACGGAUCCAAGCUCGCACGCCGCCGCCCCUCCCACCACGCCGAGCUCGCACGCCACCGCCGCCGGCGCCCCCAACUGGCCGCCCCUCGUCAGUUUGUGUGUUCCAUCCGCACCAAAAAUCGCCGUCCCUAGCUUCCCGUGGAUCCCUGCGCGCCGCCGCCCACCAGAAGGAUGCUCUCGUGCUCCCCGACGCCGCUUUCCUUAAGCAUUCGUGCGCUCCAAAAGUCAACGCGACACAGCUGCUUCCUCCGGCAACACCUCCUACCGACGCCGGCGGUUCUGAGGUUACCUUGUUAGUAGUUCAACUUUGCUAAAUUCUGUAGUUAACCAUUGCUAAAAAUCAUCUUAGAAAUUAUCUCGUUUAAAUAGUUCACCUUUUCUAAAAACUGUAGUUCUCUGGUUAGAAAAACAAUAGUUAUCUCUGCAAAAAAGUAUGACAAUUUUUUGGUAAAGUCUCAAUCUCUUCUCAGUUUUAGUGUACGCUCGCUGGCGAUGCGUCCAGCAUGCUUGCGGUGAUAGCGCCAUAGUGGCCACCACUAAUGGCAUUGGCGGCCAGCAUGCUUGCACAAAAAAUAGCUAGCUAGGUGUUCAGGAUCUUCUAUUUUAUCCCCCGAAACAGGGUGCUCAGGACGUCUAUUUUGUUCUCUGAAACACUAGCUAGGUGUUCCCAGUUCAGUACGUGGACUAUCAUCAUCUCUAGUUGCUGCUUCCUGCCACCAACGAAUUGCGCAAGUUCAAAGAGUGUCGCAUGACAAAUUCAAAAGGUGUUGUAUGGCAAGUUCAGAAUUUUGGUUUCGUGAAAAGUGUGAUUUUUGGACAAUAUUUUGUGCGAUUCAAUUGUUCAUCUUCAGAACUUGGAGAUGUUAAGUCUACUUUUUUCUAUGAUGAAGGUACACAUGAGAUCCAUCUGCAAUGGUUAUCGGCCCUAGUGCUUCAAAGAUGCUUAUUUUGUUUCCCCCGUGACACAGCGAGGAUGAUAGUGACGACACUUACAAAAUUGUUUUCUGUGUUGCUAUGUUGUCAGUCCAAAGUGUGGUGAAGAUGUAGUCCUGGGUGUGUAGAUGAUGUGGUGUGUGUCUGGUUGUGUGUGUGUGCAUGAUGAUUGGUGGCUGUUGUGUGUGUGUGCAGGGUACCCGGCGACAGCGGGUAGGCGGCAAGUGUACUGGUGAGCAGCUACCCGGAAAAUGCUGGAACAGGGCUUCCAAAGUAAGCUCCUUGCUUCUUGCUUCUCUUUAAAUCUCUUGAGCUUUACAUGGUAUGUUCAAGACAAGUCCUCUAGUGGUUGUAUUGUAUGAUGUUCGUUUAAAUGAUCGGCUAUACUGACACCGCAUACGUGGAAACUCAAAAUGAAAAUAAAAGGUGUUAAUGGAGAAAUAUAAGAACAAAAACAGUUAUGUGUAGCCAUCUAGCAACAUGGUGAUCAAACAAAAUCCCGACAGCCACCCUCCAUGGUGAUCAAUUCCAUGUGCUGAUGGGUAUGCUUGCUUAGCACAAAAUUCAUAAACUGUCAAUUUAUUUUGAAUUGAACUGAUGCUGCUCUUGAUUCAGACAUGAGGGGAGAAGACGGAACUAGAAUGAUUCAGUUCAUCAUUGGCACCCCUGUAAACCAAACAGUGAAGAACACACCCACUGUACUUUUGCUCUUGUUCUUUCUAUCUCCUGAAUUCCACGCUUUCUGUGAUGAGCAUGCUUGGUACUAUAUAGAUACUGCUGUAGUAGUUCUAAUACAAUAUAUUACAAGAAUUCAUUGACAAAAAAGGUGUCAGUUCAUAUAUGCAUGCAGCAGCUGUUCUGAUACUACUUCAGUAACCAGAAAAACACAGAAGUUCAACUAUACUUAUGCAAAAUAGUUCAAUAUUUUAUUCUAUGACAGUCAAGAAAAACAGAAAAAAAGAGGUUCAUCGUGUGAUGAGCAAUAGUCCCAACAACUGUGCUAGAGAUGCAAAAAAUUGAUAGCAUAGCCGAUGCUAUUUUUCAUCCAAUUUCGGAAGAAAACUGAAGUUGAUCAGAGUAACUGAAGAAUGAUCUGUUAGUUCUUGAGUAUGUGUAAUGCUGCCAUUUUACUAUGCAUUUGAUUCCAUCGUGAUGGAUGUAUUACAAAGAUAUGGCUGUAUUAUUAUGUUGAAUAAAAAUACCAUUUUGCUGCAACAUUUUCUGUCAGCUCCUGUCAAGUUAUACAUGUAUGUGAGGAUCCUUCUAUGUAGUAAGUUCAUAGUCGAGAAGUCAGGGACUUCGUAAGGAACGUGAACACCAAAAAACCAUUAAAAAACCUAAACCAUAUGUUAGGGGAGUUCAAGAAGUUCAUGGCUAGCUGUCCGUGUUCUGUAUUCUUAUCAGUUCAUAAUCGAGACGACAUGUAUUCUUAUCAGUUCAUAAUCGAGACGACAUGUAUUCUUAUCAGUUUGUUUAUCUAGCCCGUCGUGCUGUGUAUUCUGGUCAGUUCGUGUGUGUAUGUGUUGCCCUCGCAGUGUAUGAGAGGCCGCCCGUGAGGAAGUCGCCGAUCUGGUUGAGGCAUGCUGCUAUUCUCUAUAUCCGGUAGCACAAACAUUUAAAAGUUCGAACACCAAACCCUGGUGAGUUCUUCUUAACAAAAACUCAUCCCUCAUAUUUGUUCCUUUUUUCGUAGGUUGAAGUUAAAACAAGAUGGAGAUGUGUGUUUUGGAGAGAGAAGAACUUAUCUAGUGGAGUGCGUGUGUGUGCUGCUGCAUCCUCGUCCGGCAGCUCUAAUCCACACUCUCAGUACUAGGUGGUGGCAUUGCUUCACUUCUCUUGUUACGUUCUCUUCGCCCAAAUUCGGAGGAUCAAGAAAAUAAAAUAUCAUUCUUUUGACAUGCACUACUCAAAAGAAGGCAUUUCUGUUGAAAAAUUGUUUCGCUUGACAUGUACUUGCCAACAAUUAUGUAUAAUAAAUCAUGGCAUUGUAUGUAGAAAAAGAUAUAUUGUGUGUUCUGCUGUUGUAUUGAGUUGCUAUCUAUUGCUAAUUGUAUGAUGUUGCUAUUGCUCUCCGUGUCAUGUUAUGCAAGUUGACACCGAGUACACGUUGGAUGAUAUACUUAUACAAUAAAUAGCUAAAAAC
Molecule: ribosomal RNA, 3347 nt
Filed under: Triticum aestivum (bread wheat)
Lineage: Eukaryota; Viridiplantae; Streptophyta; Magnoliopsida; Poales; Poaceae
Description: partial small subunit ribosomal RNA
Source: RNAcentral